This 250-nucleotide unclassified non-coding RNA is filed under the name Hevea brasiliensis (rubber tree). Lineage: Eukaryota; Viridiplantae; Streptophyta; Magnoliopsida; Malpighiales; Euphorbiaceae. The record is from RNAcentral.
CUUAAAUUUCAUCAAAUUUUGAUACCGAGUCUGGUGAGUUUUCUCCUUUAGUUUGAUCUUCAACUUUCAAUUGAAUUAAGCUUUGGUGGAGCAUCAGCUGUGUAAACAGAGAUUUAGAUCAAUGGAGAAAGAAAAGAAAUUAACAGAAGGCACCUCAGAAAUCGAAGAACCCAUUGAAGUUCCUUUAUUUCAAGUCCCUGAAUGUUAUGUUUACUUGAUCCCUCCAAGGAAAAGUGCAGCUUCAUACAGG